AUGAUGAGGAAAAACUUAUUGGAAUUUAUGAUUACAACGUAUGAUACUAGUAGUAAGCGAUUUAUUAUUCGGCCAAAUACUGACGGCAUCACUGUGCUUAAUGAAGAUGUUUAUGACAUAUUCGGGCUACGUAACGAGGGUGAUGAUGUGAUUAGCAUGAUAGCAACAGUACAACUAGAUGCCAAAAAAAUUGUUCCGAAUCGGUUUCUAGACAAAAGAACAGGCCUAAUCCUGAUCGAUGACUUGAUAAAAAAUAUGGUUGAUAGUCAGUCAUAUGAUGAUGGUUUUGUGAGAAGGGUCGUACUGGUUCUUAUGGGUACAGUCUUAGCACCACAAUCCACCAAGUUUGUUCCUUAUCGUUAUUACAAAAUGGUGGAGGACGUCAACGCUACCAAGUCAUACAAUUGGAACGAUUUCACGUUGGGGGUGUGCAUGGAUGCUAUUAAAAAAACAGUCGAAGAUCUUGAAAAAUUCCAUUGGCCUAUCGGGAACUUGGCUCUUCUUCAGUAUAUAUAUUGGGAAAAACUUGAGCCAAUUGGUCUGGAUGCAUUUGAUCCCUUAUCUCGUGAAUACCCACUAAUGCUUAACUGGCCAGAAACGGAAGGGAAAAAGCGAGGCGACUAUGACAACAUACACGGGUGGGGUACCGACAAUAUUGAAAACUGCAUUAGCGAAGAGUACAGACGUGCUAAGGUUGCACGUGAAGGGACUGUCCCCAGAGGAAGAAACGAAGAGAACUAA
RNAcentral lists this ribosomal RNA (741 nucleotides) under Triticum aestivum (bread wheat). RNAcentral's name for it is "partial small subunit ribosomal RNA". The record is from RNAcentral. Lineage: Eukaryota; Viridiplantae; Streptophyta; Magnoliopsida; Poales; Poaceae.